ACUGGGGAUGGGGGGACGAUUUGGUAUUUGGUUUUGGCAGAAUCUUAACCAGUGGAUUCAGUAUUCGGCCAAACCCCCAAAAAUCUGGAUUCGGUGCAUCCCUAAAAUGAACAUAUUAA
Molecule: long non-coding RNA, 119 nt
Organism: Etheostoma spectabile (orangethroat darter)
Lineage: Eukaryota; Metazoa; Chordata; Actinopteri; Perciformes; Percidae
Exons: 3
Source: RefSeq, a predicted model, not a curated record